UUACGGCCAUGUCACCUUGAAACAUUGGUUCCUGUAUGAUCUCAAAGUUAAGCAACGUUGAGACUGGUCAGUACCUAGAUGGGUGACAACUUGGGAAUACCAGGUGCUGUAA
Molecule: non-coding RNA, 112 nt
Organism: Acanthosepion pharaonis
Lineage: Eukaryota; Metazoa; Mollusca; Cephalopoda; Sepiida; Sepiidae
Source: the annotation of a GenBank genome assembly